This 254-nucleotide ribosomal RNA is filed under the name uncultured bacterium. RNAcentral describes it as "partial 16S ribosomal RNA". It matches the Rfam family "Bacterial small subunit ribosomal RNA", at positions 524 to 776 of the family's 1533-position model. The record is from RNAcentral.
UACGAAGGGGGGCUAGCGUUGUUCGGAAUUACUGGGCGUAAAGCGCACGUAGGCGGACAUUUAAGUCAGGGGUGAAAUCCCAGAGCUCAACUCUGGAACUGCCUUUGAUACUGGGAGUCUCGAGUCCGGGAGAGGUGAGUGGAACUGCGAGUGUAGAGGUGAAAUUCGUAGAUAUUCGCAAGAACACCAGUGGCGAAGGCGGCUCACUGGCCCGGUACUGACGCUGAGGUGCGAAAGCGUGGGGAGCAAACAGG